Molecule: long non-coding RNA, 705 nt
Organism: Engraulis encrasicolus (European anchovy)
Lineage: Eukaryota; Metazoa; Chordata; Actinopteri; Clupeiformes; Engraulidae
Exons: 2
Source: RefSeq, a predicted model, not a curated record
GAUACAUGGAGGAAGUGCAGUUGAAUAAAAAUUAUCUACAUUGUGCCCAUUUUAACAGCCUUGUUUACGUUAGCUUGCUAGCCAGCUACUAGCAAACCGGUUGACUGAAGCAAACUUGUGUAAAGUUAAACGUAGGUCUAAGUGUUCAAAUACUCUUAUGAAACGGCUAUAUUGGUCUGAAUUUGGCUCGUGGUACACUUUUACACGGAUUGGUGAUGCUCUCAACAGGUUUGGCACCAACUGUGUUUUUAACGGCACAAAUCCUCAAGCGGUGGCAUCAUGUUUUCCUCACGUUAACGAAAUCCAGGCUAAUUAUUUAUUAGCAAUUAAUGGAUGGCCAUGAACUGCGCCCUCGUCCCAUAUGCUGUCCAUCAUUGGUGAAUGAAUGAAGUAGCUGGGCUCAUAGUUUGAUACAGAUGUCCGUGGUUGGGCUACAAAUAUCUGAAUUUGUUCUUAAUCUUGUGCAACAGUAAACAGGUGGAAUUACCUCUGGGUCGGACAGGGCUAGCCAGCUGUAAUCCACCCUGCUACAGUGAUGCCCGCCUGCCUCCCGGCUUUUACGACCAAGAAUCGGAGCGCUGAUGUGAUGUUUCCCCGUCGACUGAUGAGGGAAGGAAGAGAAGGCAGCCACGACACGCGAUUGUUCAACAUGACAGUGAGACAGAAAAAUAAUGUCAAGAUAAAUAAAAAAUCAUGAUGAGUGAA